RNAcentral lists this unclassified non-coding RNA (243 nucleotides) under soil metagenome. Its description in RNAcentral is "partial contains small subunit ribosomal RNA, internal transcribed spacer 1, and 5.8S ribosomal RNA". The record is from RNAcentral.
UUUCCGUAGGUGAACCUGCGGAAGGAUCAUUACCGAGCGAGGGGCUCCGCCCCGGCUCCCAAAACCUUGCCUACCGACCCAAGUUCCCUCGGCGGGCCGGCCCGAAACCUGGUUUCGGGCCACCGGCCUCGCUGCCGGUCCGAGCCCGCCAGAGGACCACAGACUCCUCCUAAACCUAGUCAGCCUCUGAGCACUUGCGAGAUUGAAUCGUGAAAACUUUCAACAACGGAUCUCUUGGUUCUG